This is a long non-coding RNA of Entelurus aequoreus (snake pipefish), 810 nucleotides long. RefSeq lists it as uncharacterized. The transcript has 4 exons. Lineage: Eukaryota; Metazoa; Chordata; Actinopteri; Syngnathiformes; Syngnathidae. The record is from RefSeq and is a predicted model, not a curated record.
UUUUCAUGCCAAUAUGUGAUUGGCCAGAUCACUGAAAAUGGGUGGGCAACGGAGGCCUGGCCUCACCAUGCAUUGUGUCCAGGGCUGAAAGAUUGACAUUUUGUUCGUCCAAUCACAUGCUACUGGUUCAUUUGGAAUCAAUCCUUUCCUUUCCUAAUCAACACAGAAGCCAUUUUGAGAAUUCGCCAGCCACUUCAGUCAAACAAACACUCGCCAUAGUGGCUACGAGUGUCCUAUCAACUUGUGCUUUUCAGGAAAUUUAGAGAACACCCCUGGCUAUCAUCCGUGAAGUUUAUAGCUCAUAUAGCCAAAUACUUUUGCUUAAAACGACCUCGGAAAUCGGCGAGAUUCUGGCGCAAUUUGUACUUUUUUUUUAAUUGUUGAAGGGAAACAAAAAGCAGAGACAAGACCGUUUUUGCAAUCAACGUUACAGUUUUUUUUUAAUCUGGGGAUGGAUGGCUGAGUUGGACACGUUCUGGAUCCACACGACCUUAGAUGAAGCCAGCUGCAACCCGUAGAGUGGAGUCGUGGAGAGAGCCCCUCGCCCCUCAGCUAAACCAGAGUAAAUGAAGCCAGCACCAACCUGUGGAGUGGAGUCCAGGAGAGAGCAUGCCGCCCCUCAGCUAAACCAGAUCAGAUAAAGCCAACUGGAACCAUAUUUUUACAUAUUUUAUAUUAAAUAUAUUGAAUAAAACUACAUAUGAUAAAGAAAGUGUUAUCUUAUCUUUUUUAUAUGCUAAACUUGAUUAAAUUGGUGAUUACAUGUUGAAGCUGUAGAAGAAUGAAAAAUGUAAGCUAAACUAAAUUGUU